Gadus morhua (Atlantic cod) is the source of this 2745-nucleotide long non-coding RNA. RefSeq lists it as uncharacterized. Lineage: Eukaryota; Metazoa; Chordata; Actinopteri; Gadiformes; Gadidae. The record is from RefSeq and is a predicted model, not a curated record. The transcript is spliced from 3 exons.
CUCUGGUACUUCCACGUAAAGACUCGUGGUGGGUGUUAUCUUGCUCAUGUUGGUCGGAAGGGAGGGUUUAUUAUUUUUUUCGAAAUAAAGGGACGUCGGUCUAGUGGGCUAGCGUCGGAGAAAUGACAUGAAUAGUUUUUCUCACCGCCAUGUAUACUCGGACAAUUCAUUGGCUGAAGCAUUUCUUUCCCCGGUACGAUAGGUGGCGCUAUGCCCAUUUCAACUAGUGGUAAUAGAGUACCGGUUGACUUCUUGACGUCACUAGCAACAACAAACUUAACCGAAGGCUGCCCCGGACGGCUUGUUGUCGGAAGCUAACGUUAGCGUAGCGUGAUACCUUAUCACGUGGUUUCUGAGGUUUUCAGUAUUUCUACAAAAAUUGAGCUACGCUGGUGGUUUUAUCCAGCCCUUUGUCCUUUGUUGUUUUAAAUCCGAAAUGGUUCCAGACGUCAGACUUUACUUGGGACGGCUUGCUGAGCGGGGUUUUACCUGCGUCUGUCAUUUUUUCUCUGCGCGCUUGAACGUCAACCUGACGUAAACGCGCUGCUGCAUCAUAGAUUUUUUUUUUUCCCAGCCCUACUGCUUUCAUCCCCCCAGUCAGUCAUCUUGAACCAAGCAGGGGUGUCAAGAGCUGUCAGUAAAUUCCCUGAAAUCGAAAUCAACGACGGAUGCUUUCUCUGCUAAAAAGGUGAAGAGGCCAAUACCAGCCGAAGCUAACUUCUAUCCAUCCUUCCCUACUGGAGAAACUCAGGACAGCAUGGUAAAAGAGAGGAUAGAACUUCUGACAGAUGUUAAGAUAAGGAACCACGAAAGGGUAAUAACAGACAAAAUGGCUUGCACGUUUGCCAACAGACGACAAGAGGUGGUCAACCAAGAACCCAGCAUUCAAGACUUUAAAGACAGGUGGCCUGUCUUGUUCCAUCAGAAAGAGAUCAAUGCAGAGUUCCUGAGGCUCAUGGCUGUUCCUCUUGAGGAUAAGUUCUUUGACCAGUUAUACAUCCACUCAAGUCAGCUAAUCAGAGUCAUCCGUGCCAAAGGUGGAUCAACAUGCCAAGACUGCUGACAUCAUGGACAUUUUGGACCAGAAUAGUGGAGAUCUAUGGACGUCACCGUUGAAAUCAAAAGGGGAAAACUGCACUUUUCUUUAAUGAAUAAACCAAAAGAAAGGCAUCCACAAGGAGAAGCUGAGGAUAUGGAAAACUGUGAUCAGUACAUACCGCCUUGGAGCUCCACCCAGGCCAGAGCCAGGCAGAGGACGAAGCCCAGCUUCAUGAUGGGCUGCAACAGGCGGUCUGGGUGCCUCUAAGGUGGGACAGGGGUGGAGAACCCUCGGAUACCUGGGAGAAGCGUCACGGGCAGUUGGAGGGUGGGGGUAAUGGCGAUAGGACCGUCUGGUGUUUUUAACAGAACUCGGUUAGACUCCUAGAUCCAUUCUCCUCUUAGACCGAGAGGAAAGUGGAGUGGAAUACUUUGGGCUCCCCCACCCUCUUAAUAACUCUCUCUUUCCAGAUGUCAACGGGAGGCAAAUAUACUCACGCAUGUAAGCUCUGGCGCCCUCUGCUGGAUAAAUACAGCGCCGGUGAAAGUUCAGUUUGUCUUUGCGACGACUACAACGUCAGCAGACAGUUAUAUCUCAAAUUCAAUCAUUACCAAAAGAAUUGUAGUGAUUUAUUAAAUCAACACAAGUCUUACUUAAAUAAAACAAAAACAUUUGUUUUAUUUUAUUGUUAGUAACAAAUGAUAACACAUAAUUCCAUCGUGGAAACGUACAUGUUCUGAAAAAAUCAUGAAUUUACUUAUCUGAAGGGCAAACCGAAUCCAUGAAAAUUCAACAUUAGUAGAAAUUGCAUUAAUUGCACAUUAAACAAAAACUCCAGGUCAAACUGAUAAUGGUUCAAAAUAUUAUUUCCUCAAUGUAGUCUAACAAUGCAAAGAUGCACCAAAAAGAGAAGAUAAAUAUUCCAACAUUAUGCUAACUAAAGUUUAAUUAUAUAUAUAUAUAUAUAUAUAUAUAUCCUCAAGAACACAUUAUAUGCCCACAAGCCACUAUCAACAUGUUCAGAGAAAUUGAUGGUAAAGUCAAAGGAACAGGAAUUUUUAAUUUCCCAACAGUUUGAGGGUCAAACAAUACUAUCAGAUCCUCAAAACAACAGGUCCUAAUGUGGAUAUGCGGACUACAUCUGAUAGGUCUCUCUUCAAUGAACGAUGAACACCAGACAGCCAUAACUGUACAGCGACAUAGCUAAUACAAAUAACAGAUAGAAACAGACGGAAAAAUACACAAGUCUGUAAUACUCUGACAGAGAUUAAAAACAGAGAACAUCUUUGUUUAGUAUAGGAAUGUAACAUCAAAUAAUAAUCAAAAAACUAAAGAAAAAUAUCGAAACAAUUUAAAAAGACGACUCAACGUAACGUACCAACGACUAGUAACCAAUCAACUGUCCCACGUGGACGGAUGACCUGCUUACCCUUUAAGGUCAAAGGUUAGCAGUAACCGGUCAUUUUACUACAGCAGGUCAUUUCACUACAUUUGUUCACUCAAUUUGUUUUUUACAGGUCAAAUAUGGGUGCAACAAGUUUCUGUAGCCAAAUCUUAUAGAAUAGUCUCACAAUUUGGCACAGGUUAAAUGACACUUGUAUUUAAUACCUACAAUUACCACCAGAGAGCAUCAAGUGUAAUAAUAGCACAGCUUAACACACAAUUUAAUCAAUUCACUUAUUUGCGUAUCUAGAAACUAAAAAAAA